AACGAACGCUGGCGGCAUGCCUAACACAUGCAAGUCGAACGAAGGCUUCGGCCUUAGUGGCGCACGGGUGCGUAACGCGUGGGAAUCUGCCCUUUGCUUCGGAAUAACAGUUAGAAAUGACUGCUAAUACCGGAUGAUAUCGCAAGACCAAAGAUUUAUCGGCAAAGGAUGAGCCCGCGUAGGAUUAGCUAGUUGGUGGGGUAAAGGCCUACCAAGGCGACGAUCCUUAGCUGGUCUGAGAGGAUGAUCAGCCACACUGGGACUGAGACACGGCCCAGACUCCUACGGGAGGCAGCAGUGGGGAAUAUUGGACAAUGGGCGAAAGCCUGAUCCAGCAAUGCCGCGUGAGUGAUGAAGGCCUUAGGGUUGUAAAGCUCUUUUACCCGGGAUGAUAAUGACAGUACCGGGAGAAUAAGCUCCGGCUAACUCCGUG
RNAcentral lists this ribosomal RNA (433 nucleotides) under uncultured bacterium. RNAcentral describes it as "partial 16S ribosomal RNA". It matches the Rfam family "Bacterial small subunit ribosomal RNA", at positions 29 to 507 of the family's 1533-position model. The record is from RNAcentral.